RNAcentral lists this long non-coding RNA (1204 nucleotides) under Papio anubis (olive baboon). Its description in RNAcentral is "lncRNA (ENSPANG00000049716.1)". Lineage: Eukaryota; Metazoa; Chordata; Mammalia; Primates; Cercopithecidae. The record is from RNAcentral.
UGAGAAAUGACAUGUGGCUUAUAUUUUUAAAAGAUCCUUUGGAUGCUACUUUGAGAAUAAAUUGAAGGGAGACAAGGAUGAAGGGGAGAAGAGCACUUGGGAAGCUAUUGCCAUAAUCCAGGUGAGAGAUGGUGGUAGCAUGAACCAAGAUAAUUGGUUAGAGGGUGGAUCAGGUAGUUGGAUUUGGGAUAUAUUAGGAAGGUAGAGCCAAUAGGAUUGCCUAAUGGACCAGAUGAGGAGUAUUAGAAAAGAGAGAAGUCAAGUAUGACUCCAAGAUUUUUGGCCGAAGCAACUGAUAUGGUUUGGCUGUGCCACUACCCAAAUCUCAUCUUGGAUUUUAAUGUCCACAAUUCCCAUGUGUUGUGGGAAUGACCCUGUAAUUGAACCAUGGGAACAGGUCUUUCCCAUAUUAUUCUCACAAUAGGGAACAUGUCUCAUGAGGUCUGACGGUUUUAAAAGGGGGAGUUUAACCCCACUAACCACACAAACUUUCUUCUCUUGUCUGCCAUCAUGUGAGACUUGCCUUUCAUCUUCCACCAUGAUUGUGAGGCCUCCCCAGACACAUGGAACUGGAGGUGAAGAGUUGAGGAACAUUGAACGAGAGAGGAAAAACAUCUUUUGGGGACCAUCAGCGGUGGUGGUUAAAGCCAUGAGAGUGGAGGAGACUGCAAGUGAAGAACAUGAAGAAUGAGAAGUGCCAAGUGCAGAACCCUGGAAAUACCCACUUUUAGCCUUGAAUUCUAAGGGAUGAGUAGAGGAAGAACCCACCACAGAUUAAUCUUUGCAAAAUAUGUUGACAUUGUACAAAUUUUCAUGUGUGAUUGUUAAUUAUUUUAAUAAAUUUUAUGUUGUUGGGCCACCACACAGGACUCUGAAAUUCGUUUAUAAUUCAUUGUAUUGAAAAUUAAAUACACAAGAUGAUAUUUCUAUUGCUUAUGCAGAAUAUCAAUAAUAAUAAUAAAAUGAGCUCUGCAUACUUCUUACCCAGUAUAAUAAAUGAAACUUUACCAUUCCUUUGAAACUUAUGUUCUCAUAUCAGUUCCCUUCCCCAAGAUUCCCUACACCUAGAGGUAACUAAUAUGAUACACUUUGUUUACCAUUUCCUUGAUUUCCCCUUAAUUCCAGUAUCUAUGAAUGUAGUAGAGAGAACACAGUUAGAUUUUAAAACUGAUUUUGAACUUCACGUAAUGAAAUCACAUUAUAU